RNAcentral lists this long non-coding RNA (6229 nucleotides) under Homo sapiens (human). RNAcentral describes it as "HSALNT0157909". The record is from RNAcentral. Lineage: Eukaryota; Metazoa; Chordata; Mammalia; Primates; Hominidae.
CUUCUGUGUCCUAAAUAACUUGGGAGUUACCAGUCUUCUUUAAGGAUCUGGUGUUCUAAAAGGUUUCUAAAGAAUUUUAUGAGGUUUUUAUUACUUAAUUGACAAGAAUUUAUUAGCUAGAGUGGCAAGUAAAUAAGGACGUCUUAAAAACAAAAAGUUGUUUUACUUCCCAUUUCACUUUCUCUCUCUCUAGCUGUUUUCCUUCACUAAUAUUUCCAAAACACACAACAACAGUUGGCAUCGCUCGCAUAUAAACAGCUCUUCCAUGUCACUGAGAAAACGAGCAAGAUCCAGGGAGGAAAAAUGGAUACAGGAUAUAAAUAGAAAAUCCUCAAAACAGGAAUUUCAAAAUGUCAACAAACAGGCAAAACUUUCUUUCAACAGCGCUAUUAUGACUGGUAUGUUUCACUUGCUUUUUUUUUUUUUUUCUUUUUCUCCAGCAAAUUGCUCAAAUGUCGGUGUGCUCUCAUGAACAGAAACGAUGGCACGGUGGGUCCUGGUCUCAAGACUUCCUCUCAAUGAUUCAGAGGUCUUGGGGGUUUUUUGUCUGAAUAUCAGGCAAAGAGGAAGGACGGCUACAAUGGAGGAGUCUCCUACCACGCUUGUGGUCGUCACUGUAGUGCUCAGUUGAAUGGUGUGUCCAUUGGGGUUGGAGUCCCCAUCCUGUUCUGGGUCCUGGCCCCCCACAGGCUCCAGGGACAUAACCCUUCCAGUUCAGGAUCAUGUGCUGGGGCACUGUUCCCUGAGGUGGGACUCUGGGCUGUAACAGCUGCUUUUGAAGCAUGUUCCAGCUUCAACCACGUGCUUGGACGACACCAGCUCUUCCCACAUACUCUUCCCCAGCUCUUGUGUUGAGUUUGGCUUCCACCUUCCUCCAGCUGUAGAGACAGGGUUUCUCCAUGUGGGCCAGGCUGGUCUCGAAAUCCUGGCCUCAAGUGAUCUGCCCUUCCUCGGCCUCCCAACAUGCUGGGAUUACAGGCUCUGCCUCCUCUGUCGAAAAUUCAAGGCAGGCGGAAUGCAGUGCUGCCCCUGACACACACCACAGUAGCGACUCCAGUCUUCAUCUGAGAUGAUGGCACAGACAGUGUUUCACUCUUGUUGCCAAGGCUGGAGUGCAGUGGCGCCAUCUCAUCUCCCUUGCAAUCUCUGUCUCCUGGGUUCAAGUGAUUCUCCUGCCUCAGCCACCCUAGUAGCUGGGAUUACAGGCACCCGCCACCACGCCUGGCUAAUUUUUUUUUUCAGUAGAGGUGGGAUUUUGGGGUUUCGCCAUGUUGUCCAGGCUGGUCUCAAAUGCCUGGCCUCAGACAUACACCCACCUUGGCCUCCCAAAGUGCUGGGAUUACAGAGACCAUGAUGUUUUUUACUUUCAGCACAGUAUUCAAUAGAUUACAUAAAAUAUUUAACACUUGCUUGUGCUGAAUGAUUUUGACUAACUGUAGGCUAAUCGAAGCGUUUUGAGCAUGUUUAAGGUAGGCAAAGCUAAGCUAUGAUGUUUAGUAGAUGAGGUAUAUCAAAUGCAUUUUCAACCUAAAAUAUUUUCAACUAACAAUGGAUUUAUUGUGAUGUAACUUUACUGUAAGUUGAGAAGCAUAUGUACGUGUGUAUACAGAUACCUAUAUAGAGAGAUAUCUAUAGAUAUAAAUAUAUAGACAGAUUGAUGAUAGAUAGGUCAAUAGAGCAAAUCUUGCUUUAGGAAAAUCUGAAACAUCUUAAUAUCCCUUGGAAACAAGAUGGUGUAGUAAGCUGUUCCGGCAUCACUAUAAAGAAAUAUCUGAGGCUGUGUAAUUAGUAAGAAAAGAGGUUUAGUUGUCUCAUGGUUCUGCUGGCUGUACAGGAAGCAUAGGGCUGGCAUCAGCUUCUGGGGAGGCCUCAGAAAGCUUCCAAUCAUGGGGUAAGAAAAAGGGGGAGCAGGUGUCUUACAUGGCAGGAAUGGGAGCUAGAGGGUAGGGGGAGGUGCCUCUGGAUUUAAACAACCGGAUCUCACAAGAAAUCACUCACUGUUGCAAAAACAGCACCAAGGAGGGAUGGUGAUAAGCCAAUCAUAAGAAAUCCACCUCCACGAUCAGUCACCUCCCACUCAUAAGAAAUCCACCUCCAUGAUCAGUCACCUCCCACUCAUAAGAAAUCCACCUCCACGAUCAGUCACCUCCCACUCAUAAGAAAUCCACCUCCACGAUCAGUCACCUCCCACUCAUAAGAAAUCCACCUCCACGAUCAGUCACCUCCCACUCAUAAGAAAUCCACCUCCAUGAUCAGUCACCUCCCACCAGGCCCCGCCUCCACGAUCAGUCACCUCCCACCAGGCCCCGCCUCCAACACUGAGGAUAACAGUUUAACAUGAGAUUUGGGGGAACGAAUAUCUAAACUAUUUCAAUUAAUAAUGGGCUAAUAAAGCCAAGUCAACUCUUAUGGGAACAUCAUCGGACGCUUGUCAAGAUAUUAGGGAAGAAUGCUGAGAGAGGGGGUGGAGCGGGCACACGGAAAGAAACAGAGAUGGGAGCACUCUCCACCCUCACAGCACCAUGAGGGAAGUAGCCUUGACCUUGAUAUUCCCACAGGAACUCAGGGUGCUGAGCUUGUAUUGCCGACAUCAUCAUUUUUCUGAACAAGCCUGGGUAAGUCUCUACUGCCUGUAAACAAAAGAGGCGUGGCUAGAAUGAAAAUCAUGCUAGGUGAAGAAUCGUGAUGCAAAUUGGCUUUUAUGUAUUAGGCCAACUUUGUAAAAGAUAAGCACACAAGAAAGAAAACUAGAAGCAUGGCCAGAAAAGAUAGCAUCAGUUCCACUAGGGUGGGGGGAAUAAUGGGAGCUCUCCUCCAAUCUUUUCCAAACUUUCUGUAUAUUAAUUUAAUAAUGAAAAUAGUUUUGAAAAGAAGGCACAGUAUAAAAUCUUGUGAAAUCCAACAGUGGAAGUCAUUUUCCAGAUUGAUAUAUUGUCUGUCAUUUUAUAGACCAAUAAAAUGAAGACAUCCCCUAGUGCACUUGGAUGUCUCUACAAGGCUUUUGGUGUUUGAAUAUUCAGGGGUACAGAAAAAUGUAAGGUGUUAGCAAGCACUGCUCACCGAUACUCAGACAGAAACACAAAUAAAUCAUUCUGAAACGAUGGCAAAGGGCAGGGUGUGUGACCUUAUAUUUAAAAAAUCUUAAUUAAAAUAAGUAAUAUUUCUCUUAAACCAGUAGAAGCAUAUUUAGAGAUUUGAGUGGGAUCUGCGUCUUAGAACAUCUGUAUAUGGUGACAAAAUAAGAGUCAGUGAAAGAAUCAGUUAAUUGCUUUAUUUGGAUUUAAUGGGUGUUUUGUUUUUCAGACUCUUUUUUUCUAUCAAUUAAUUUAUUGGUUAAGCAUUUUAUUAAAAGGUUAAAAGUAACUUAAUAAUUUGUGUUUGGCAUUAAUUAAAAGUAUACUUGGGUCAUGCAGCUAAUAAUCCCAUGUAUUAGCCUGGACGCACCAAUAAGGACACACACAUCCCCAUUGCCUCCUCUCAUUUUUCCGGAGAAUGCUCUUCUUUCCUCUCCAGGUUCUACUCCCGCGAGACCCUCAUGAAGUCCUGAGGUUGCCUCUCGUGCACGUUCACAGGGAGCUGGAAAGCAGACAUACCCCAUGAGGCUGGAGGACUUCAUCAGUCCCAAGAAACACGUGAGGCCUCUCAGUAGGAUGCUGCAGGGCAGAGACCUGGUUCUGUAGCUGACUCCAAGCCUGGCUAAGGAGCCUCUGGGCUGUGGAUACACCACCUACAGCUGCUCAUCAGGUGCAGGGCACCAGAUUCCCAAAUUCUGCUGAGGUUUUUACUCUGGUCUGUCACUGACACUGGUGCAGAACUGGUCCUGAACAAAGUCACUGUUUUACUUUGUCAAGGAUAUUUUCAUGCCCGAAAUGAGCUCAGGUGCACUUCAAAUCUUCUCCCACAGCCACUGUCCCCAGGACACGGGGCUGGAUACCCAGGUUGAGAGAGGCUCCAGCACGCCCACACCACGGACCCAAAGCCAUCCUACUUCAACCUUCAGGCUUAGGGUGAGGCCCUACUCACUGGGUCCUGUUUCUUUCCACCCCAACUGUGACUCCAUUUCAGAUGCUUUUGCUCCACCUCGGCCUUUGUGUGAGCCAAAUCUGUCCACCUCAGGGAGUUUCCUUAAGUCUGAAUUCUCAAGGAAGCCUUUGGGAUCUCGAUCUUUUCUGCGCAAAAUGCCUUAAUUUUGGCCGAGUGAGGUGGCUCACGCCUGUAAUCCCAGCACUUUGAGAGGCAGGGGCGGGUGGAUCAUCUGAGGUCGGGAGUUGGAGACCAGCCUGACCAACAUGAAGAAACCCCGUCUCUACUAAAAACACAAAAUUAGCCAAGCAUGUUGGCGCAAUGGCUGUAAUCCCAGCUACUCGGGAGGCUGAGACAGGAGAAUCGCUUGAAUCCGGGAGGUGGAGGUUGCCGUGAGCCAAGAUCACGCCAUUGCAUUCCAGCCUGGUGCACUCCAGCCUGGGCAAAAAGAGCAAAACUCCAUCUCAAAAAAAAGGCUUAAUUUCUUUAUGUGAAUUACCUCUCCCAGUAACCAGAAUUCUAAGCAAUUUUCUUGCAGAAUAAAAUUAAAAUUGUAUUAAUUCACUAAAUAUUCCAGUCAAUCUAAAUUGAAGAGGCCAGAAGACCCUGUGGGCGUGUUGUGUGCUUUCCUUGGGCAUCCCUCUUACGAACUCUUGGGAUGGGACUUAUCUUCUUUCCUGGGCACAGCAGACAAAGCGUCUGAAUCUGGGGGUGGUCAACCUCCAAGAAGUUAAUAAUUGCCCUUUAGUGUGAGAUUCAGAAAAGCACAGUGCCUGGAGGGACCUAAGAAAGAACGUUUAGUUCCUGCAGACCACUGGGUUCCCGGAGGCCCCUCUACUCCUCCACUGCUUCCUCCCUCCCCCGUUGGGGCUCAACUACUGAGAAGGUUUUGUCACUGUGUUUUAGGCUUGUUUUCUAGAGGAAGCAUGCGAUACAUGGCAUUAAAAUAUUUGUGCCACAAUCCAGAAAAUUAUGAGUUCAAUAAACCUUUCAGUAUAGCAAUUUUCACACCACAAAAUAAAAAGAAAUGAAUUAUAAGUGAAAACAUGAGGUAUUUGGACAUAAAGAUGGGAACAGUAGACACCAGGGACUAGUAGGGGAGAGAGGGAGGGAGAGAGGCAUGGGCUGAAAAACUACCUGUUGGGUAAAGUGCUCACUACCUGGGUCACAGGAUCUGUAUCCGAAAUCUCAGCAUCAUACAAUACACCCAUGUAACACACCUGCAUGUGUAAAUAAAAUUGAAAGGAAAAAAAGUAACUACUUAAAGGUGAACUAUUAGAACAUAACCCAAUGAUAAGCUGGGACUAACUGCUGUCCACGAAGCAUAGAACCAUUCAUGGACUAGAUCAUUUUCUUGGUGAUGAUCUGUCUGAAUAUUGAGCUACAAUACUCAUUGGAGGAGAUCUUUCAGAAGGCCCUCUGACACAGCCACUAGGUCAGGCUUUUUGAAAAACUGAACUGGGGAACACACUGGAUUGGAUGCACCCAGCACGUAUGCACACAUUGUAUGACUAGAAAGCAGAAUACUAUAGCAUAUAGUUCUUUAUUUGAAUUGUCGUUUUCCUUGUGAGCAUAAAUUCUAGGAUUACAGGCACAAUUUUAAAAGACAUCUAUCAAUAUUGGACUGGCAUGAUCCUCCAUGUUUCAGUUUACUCCAUAUCCUGUUAUUAGUUCUGUAAUGGUAUAUAUCAAAAUUUACAGUGGCCUCAUAGGUAGGUGUCCAGCCAUUUUCAGAAGUCUUUGUCUUGAAAUUCUUGGAUGAUUUCUAAGAUUUAAUUUAUUUUUAAAUGCUUGAUUUCCUUCUAUGCAUAUAAAUAUAUAUAAAUAUUGUUUAUACAUAUACAUGCGUGUAUAUAUGUGUGCAUAUUUGUAUUUUUAUGUACAAACUUAUAGACACACACAUAUACCUUAACUUGAGAGAAUGGAGAUUUCAGCAGAGAAAAUUGUAGAGACAUGGCCAUGAGACGUGUGUUUAUUUGUAAAUGACCUUUGAUCCCUUCAAAUGUAGAGAAACGUAAAGGACAUUUGAUGGCCAUAGACUUGGAAAGAUUUUUUUUAAAUACAAUCAUCUUGCUAUAUUUUGGUCUUUGAAAAAAGUCAAUUUUAGCACAAUGGAGAAACAUAUUUGGAAGACAUUUAGGCUGUGAAAGCUGAGUUUUGUUGAUAUUUAUGGGCAGAGAAAACUUCCUUUUUGACUAUUGUUCUG